This 492-nucleotide ribosomal RNA is filed under the name uncultured bacterium. Its description in RNAcentral is "partial 16S ribosomal RNA". It matches the Rfam family "Bacterial small subunit ribosomal RNA", at positions 29 to 507 of the family's 1533-position model. The record is from RNAcentral.
AGUGAACGCUGGCGGUAGGCCUAACACAUGCAAGUCGAACGGCAGCACAGUAAGAGCUUGCUCUUACGGGUGGCGAGUGGCGGACGGGUGAGGAAUACAUCGGAAUCUACUUUUUCGUGGGGGAUAACGUAGGGAAACUUAUGCUAAUACCGCCUACGACCUACGGGUGAAAGCAGGGGAUCUUCGGACCUUGCGCGAUUGAAUGAGCCGAUGUCGGAUUAGCUAGUUGGCGGGGUAAAGGCCCACCAAGGCGACGAUCCGUAGCUGGUCUGAGAGGAUGAUCAGCCACACUGGAACUGAGACACGGUCCAGACCCCUACGGGAGGCAGCAGUGGGGAAUAUUGGACAAAGGGCGCAAGCCUGAUCCAGCCAUACCGCGUGGGUGAAGAAGGCCUUCGGGUUGUAAAGCCCUUUUGUUGGGAAAGAAAAGCAGCAGGUUAAUACCCCGCUGUUCUGACGGUACCCAAAGAAUAAGCACCGGCUAACUUCGUG